UACGUAGGGGGCAAGCGUUGUCCGGAAUCAUUGGGCGUAAAGAGCGUGUAGGCGGCCCGGUAAGUCCGCUGUGAAAGUCAAAGGCUCAACCUUUGAAUGUCAGCGGAUACUGCCGGGCUAGAGUCCGGAAGAGGCGAGUGGAAUUCCUGGUGUAGCGGUGGAAUGCGCAGAUAUCAGGAGGAACACCAGUGGCGAAGGCGGCACUCUGGGCCAGUACUGACGCUGAGGAGCGAAAGCGUGGGGAGCGAACAGG
This 253-nucleotide ribosomal RNA is filed under the name uncultured bacterium. RNAcentral describes it as "partial 16S ribosomal RNA". It matches the Rfam family "Bacterial small subunit ribosomal RNA", at positions 524 to 776 of the family's 1533-position model. The record is from RNAcentral.